UUCAAACUCAUGCUACUGAGAUAUUGUAACACCAAAUCGCCUGCACUUUAUCGGACGGGCUACAUCACUUGACCACCUGGGCUUCAUAAAAAUAAAGCUUUCGGUGGCCGGGUCUCCCUGUUACCUUUCCUCCUGAGUUUUUAUUUAACGUUGUAAUACAGUACAUGAUAUAUAAGGCAUGAACAUGGAAUGUAUAUAUAUAUAUACGACGUAUUAGUCAAAUGCGUUUUGUUAAAAUAUACUUUUUCACUUUUUUGGUCUUUUGGAAAACGUUGUUUGUGCUGUAUUUAGACCCUUCUUCAACG
Molecule: long non-coding RNA, 305 nt
Filed under: Mytilus galloprovincialis (Mediterranean mussel)
Lineage: Eukaryota; Metazoa; Mollusca; Bivalvia; Mytilida; Mytilidae
Source: RNAcentral